RNAcentral lists this ribosomal RNA (253 nucleotides) under uncultured bacterium. RNAcentral's name for it is "partial 16S ribosomal RNA". It matches the Rfam family "Bacterial small subunit ribosomal RNA", at positions 1250 to 1500 of the family's 1533-position model. The record is from RNAcentral.
CAAAGACCGCGAGGUGGAGCGAAUCUCCAAAAAUUAGUCCCAGUUCAGAUUGCAGGCUGCAACUCGCCUGCAUGAAGUCGGAAUUGCUAGUAAUCGUGGAUCAGCAUGCCACGGUGAAUACGUUCCCGGGCCCUUGUACACACCGCCCGUCACACCAUGGGAGUCGGUAACACCCGAAGCCUGUAGUCUAACCGCAAGGAGGACGCAGUCGAAGGUGGGAUUGAUGACUGGGGUGAAGUCGUAACAAGGUACC